UAUAUAUUUUAAUUUGCGUAGCCCCCAAAAUAUUGGGACAUAUAAAAAAAGACAACUCUGUUCCGCAGAGUAGCUGUUGACAUUAUAGUUGCACAGGAACUUUGUUGACUCUAGAGAACACAUCACACAUCCCCGUGGCGGCGCCUUUGCAUGCGGAUGUCAUCCAUAUCAACAUUCGAUGCCAGUUUCUGCACCUACCAUGGUGACAAUGGGUAACUGGGAAUCAGGGUUUCAUUCCGUACAGUGACCCUGAGAAACGGCUACCACAUGCAAGGAAGGCAGCAGGCGAGCAAAUGACCCACUCCUGACGCGGGAAGGUAGUGAUG
This is a non-coding RNA of Pelobates cultripes (western spadefoot toad), 326 nucleotides long. Lineage: Eukaryota; Metazoa; Chordata; Amphibia; Anura; Pelobatidae. The record is from the annotation of a GenBank genome assembly.